UACAUUAAAAAGCUUUAAUGUUAUAAACUCAUAGAAUCACAUAAUAUUGAGCUAAAAAAGGACCCUGAGUUCUUUAUAAAAAAAAUAAAAUAAACUAUGGCUUAAAGGGGUUAAAUAAAUGGCCCCAAAUCAGAAAGGCAGCAACAGAUCCAGGACCAGAAUUAAAUUUUUCUUUUCUUUUCUCUUUUUUCUUUUCUUUUCUUUUUUCUUUUCUGAGACAGGGUCUUGCUCUGUCAUCCAUGCUGGAGUGCAGUGGCAUGAUCAUAGCUUACUGUAACCCUGAACUCUUGGGCUUAAGUGAUCCUCCCACCUCAGCCUCCAGAGUAGCUAGGACUUUAGGUACUCAACACUGCUCUUAGCUAAUUUUUAAAAUUUUUGUAGAGACAGCGUCUCACUAUGUUGCCCAGGCUAGUCUCAAACUCCUGGGCUCAAGCUAUCCUCCCACCUGGGCCUCCCAAAGUGCUGGGAUUACAGGUGUGAGUCACGAUGCCUGGUUCAGAACCAAAUUCUACUGAAUCAUUGGAUAUAUAGCAUCUAUUUUUUGAGGCAGAAAUUUCACUGUAAUUCUGGAGAGUAUGCCAAUUUAAAAAGAAAACGCAAUUUUUUCCAGAUUAUGUACUAUUAAGUAAUUUUCAAUUAUAUGACAAAUGAUGAACAUACACAUUUAAGAAGAUAACAUAAAUUGGCCGGGCAUGGUGGCUCACAUCUGUAAUCCCAACACUUUGGGAGGCCGACGUGGGCAGAUCAUGAGGUCAGAAGAUCGAAACCAUCCUGGCUAACAUGGUGAAACCCCAUCUCUACUAAAAAUACAAAAAAUUAGCCUGGCAUGGUGGCACACACCUGUAAUCCCAACACUCGGGAGACUGAGGCAGGGGAGUCACUUGAACCCAAGGGGCAGAGGUUGCAGUGAGCCGAGAUGACAUCACUGCCCUCCAGCCUGGGGAACAGAGUGAGAUUCCAUCUCAAAAAAAAAAAAAAAAAAAGAAAGAAAAAGAAAUAUAACAUAAAUUAAUAUAUGCCUUUAAUACUAAAUUUGCUUAUUUUAAAAAAUUAUAUACAAGCUGAAUCUGAUCCAACUGGCCACAUUACUUCUGGAUUAUUUCACCAUUGUAUUUAUUUCAAAAUAUACUUAUUUCACUGAUGUUUGGUUGGUUUAAAAAAACUUCUUAAAACAUACUUAUUUACUUCAAAUAAUAAUGUAAACACACAAAGUACGAGCUCAAUUUACCCUGUUUUGAAGAAUAUAAGUUGAUACAGUAUACCUAGUACUUUCUGGGGUUGUCUUGUUGUUGUUGUUGUUUUGACAGGGUUUCCAGGCUGAAGUGCAGUGGCAUGAUCAUGGCUCACUGUAACCUCGACCCCCCAGGCUCAAGCAAUCCUCUCACUGCAGCCUCCUGAGUAAUGGGGACUACAGGCAUGUGCCACCAUGCCAGGUAACUUUUUGUAUUUUUUCUAGAGAAGAUGUUUCACCUUGUUUCCCCAGUUGGUCUCCAACUCCUGGGCUCAAGCAAUCCACCUGUCUUAGCUUCCCCAGAGUGCUGAGAUUACAGGUGUGGGCCACUGCACCUAGCCUUGUCUGUUUUUAAAUCCUAGGAACAUUCCAAAAGGGAGCUGUCUUUCUUCAAGAGAAUUUAUAAUAUCAAGCAGCACAUCAUAUGCAAAAAUAUGACACUAUUAUAAUUUAUUUGCUUAUUUAUUUAUACACACCCAAAUCAGAUUUAAGGGCACUUUUAAGAUUACCUAAAAUAUAGUUUAUGUUACACUAAGUGUAAAUAGAAAACUUAUUUUAAGUUUUAUUAAUUCAACAAACAUUGGCUGAGCAUCUCUGUUAGGCAUUAUGUUUUCAAAGAUUAUGUAAAAGGAAAUAAAUUAUUCAAGUGGCUUUAGUAUAGAUACUCACUAAAACAAAUGAGUCAUCACUGAUUUAGAAGACACUGUUGGUAGUUUUACGGAGCUAGCAGGUAUGAUACUUUUAAAAGUAUAUGAUAUAGAAUUAGAAUUUAAAGAUUCCAUUAUCAUCAGAGAUUUCAAAAAAUACAACAUAAAAAUGUCCAAAAGUCCAAAGCAGUGGUUUUCAACUAAAGACGAUGUAGCAAAAUAUCUAAAUAUAUUUUGAGUUGCCACAACUGGAGAGGUGCUACUGGCAUAAUGGGUAAGAGGUCGGGGACGUUGUUAAACAUCCUACAAUGCACAGCACAGCCCUCCACAAUAAAUAGUUAUCUGGCCAAAAAUGUUACUAGUGCUGAGGUUGAGAAAUGCCAGCCUAAAGUGAUUUAAUAUAUGAAAAAUGAUGUAGAUAGGACAAAAGUUUCACACUUCACAUAAAAUUCCAUAUUACUAUAUAUGUAUAAUUAUAAAGACUAUUAAUGGCACUUUUUUAUGAAUAGCA
This 2389-nucleotide long non-coding RNA is filed under the name Macaca fascicularis (crab-eating macaque). Its description in RNAcentral is "lncRNA (ENSMFAG00000055005.1)". The record is from RNAcentral. Lineage: Eukaryota; Metazoa; Chordata; Mammalia; Primates; Cercopithecidae.